CCUACGGGAGGCAGCAGUGGGGAAUAUUGCGCAAUGGGCGAAAGCCUGACGCAGCGACGCCGCGUGAGGGAUGAAGGUCUUCGGAUCGUAAACCUCUGUCAGCAGGGAAGAAAGGUCACGGGGGUAAGCAGCAGUGAAUGGACGGUACCUGCAAAGGAAGCACCGGCUAACUCCGUGCCAGCAGCCGCGGUAAUACGGAGGGUGCGAGCGUUAAUCGGAAUGACUGGGCGGAAAGCGCUCGUAGGCGGUAUGUCAAGUCAAGGGUGAACUCCCCGCGCUCAACGUGGGAACUGCCUUUGAAACUGGCAACCUGGAGUGUGUGUGAGGUUAGUGGAAUUCCUGGUGUAGGCG
This 351-nucleotide ribosomal RNA is filed under the name uncultured bacterium. Its description in RNAcentral is "partial 16S ribosomal RNA". It matches the Rfam family "Bacterial small subunit ribosomal RNA", at positions 338 to 681 of the family's 1533-position model. The record is from RNAcentral.